Long non-coding RNA from Chroicocephalus ridibundus (black-headed gull), 970 nucleotides. RefSeq lists it as uncharacterized. The transcript has 3 exons. The record is from RefSeq and is a predicted model, not a curated record. Lineage: Eukaryota; Metazoa; Chordata; Aves; Charadriiformes; Laridae.
CUUGCAAUAUCACAAGGAAGAGAUAUCAUGGCCAGGGGACUCACAGGACAGAUACUGUGCAAGUCUGAAUGUGCACAGAUCAUAGCUGUAGACUCCUGGAAGACAAUCUUCAGCAUCAUGCAUCGAACAUCCUGCAAAUAAAUAUAACUUCCCUUCUGGCACAGUGAAAUGUAAGAGUAACCGAAGGCACAAGAAUCUACUGGAACUUCUUCUAACUCAUCUCCCAUAGGAAAUCAGCUAAAUGAGUUUCUGGACCUCCACAGGAAAUCAGCUAAAUGAGUUUCUGGACCUCUAAAUAGUGGUCCGAUUUUUUUACAGCACUGCUGUGAGCCAGCAGUAUUUCCCUUGUUGCCUGUGUAUGCAUUCUCCUCGAUGCUAACAUGCCUCUUCAGACUGAAAGCAUAUACCAUUCUGACUUAUGAAUAGGUGUUCCAGUUCCCUUAAUUGUCCUAAUGGAUCACUUCAAGACCAUAAUAAUGGUCAAACUUUCAAUAUUGUCCCACAGAUGUAGCAGACUGUAUAUUAUGAUCUGAAUCAAAUGUAUCAGUACCAUAAUUUCCAAUAUUCUUAAAUCCCUAUAAUUUUCAAGUAGGAACGUAGAUUUACACAUUAUGAUUUUUGUAAAACUGUUAAGCAGUAGAAUUCCAUGCUAGAGGGCUCCCUUAGGCUAAAAAUACCCCAAACCAAUUAGAAGUAAUUUUAAAAGGACACAAACAGGGAAUUGUCAGUUUUGAGUGAAAUGGUUAAAGGUCUCGAAAAUCCUACAGUGAUUCAGAAAAAUAAUUGUCUAAAUUUGCUCUUCUGACAAAUCACAGCAUAACAAUGUAUAUUAUACGUAUCUUGUGAAGUAACUGGUGGAAGAAAUGGUUAGAUGCUGAUCCUGGUUAUCCUUAACAAUAAUUAAAUAAAUUUAAUUAAAUAAUAAUUAAAUUAAAAUUUAGAAGAUAAAUAACUGGGCCCAGUAUUAACA